AGCUCCAAUAGCGUAUAUUAAAGUUGUUGCAGUUAAAAAGCUCGUAGUUGGAUUUCUGGGAGGGUGCCAACGCCCGCCGACGUGCGUGUGCAGCGGCGCCCUUCCAUCCUUCUGUUAACGCCUCUCGGCAUUCAUUUGCUGGUGGCGGGCUCAGAUAUUUUACCUUGAGAAAAUUAGAGUGUUUCAGGCAGGCUAGGCCGGAAUACAUUAGCAUGGAAUAAUGGAAUAGGACUACGGUCUCUUUGUUGGUUUGAGGGACUGCAGUAAUGAUUAAUAGGGAUAGUUGGGGGCAUUAGUAUUUAAUUGUCAGAGGUGGAAUUCUCGGAUUUGUUAAAGACUAACUUAUGCGAAAGCAUUUGCCAAGGAUGUUUUCAUUA
RNAcentral lists this ribosomal RNA (377 nucleotides) under Spirostrombidium sp. RNAcentral describes it as "partial small subunit ribosomal RNA". It matches the Rfam family "Eukaryotic small subunit ribosomal RNA", at positions 587 to 975 of the family's 1831-position model. The record is from RNAcentral. Lineage: Eukaryota; Ciliophora; Spirotrichea; Strombidiidae.